GUUUACAUAAACUAAAAAUUGGACUGAUAAAGAGAUUAGCAUGGCCCCUGCAUAAGGAUGGCACCCAAAUUCAUGACGCCUUUCUUUU
RNAcentral lists this small nuclear RNA (88 nucleotides) under Moschus moschiferus (Siberian musk deer). Lineage: Eukaryota; Metazoa; Chordata; Mammalia; Artiodactyla; Moschidae. The record is from RNAcentral.